AAAUCCCAUUGUCAGGGUCUUACAAUAACUGUUGGUUAACUUAAUAUGACUCCCUGUGGUAGCACAACUCACUUUUCUGCUCACCUACAGCACUAAACAUUCCCACAGAUGUUCUAAUUCUGACCUAGAGGGUAGUAGGGAUUAUAAAGAAUAUAAUAAGGGGCAAUUCCAAGGAAGCCCAGUUUGUAUCGCCUAGAACUGAACAUGGUGGUACAUUUAUGUAUGGAGAAGAAGCAAGGGAUUUGGGGUGUCAGAGGGAGAUGGAUAGUACGGGCUGGGGUAUUUGGGGCCAGUAAGAAUUGCCAAGAUCACUGGGGUGAGUCAGGCCCUGAUUAGUUAGGACAGGGCUUCUUAGGGCCUGGAAACUUCCAUAGAGUAUGGAUCUCAUCCUCAGCACGAGUGUGAGUGCUUUACAGGAGAUUCCAUCUAAGCAGAAGCCAUCUACCUGCACACCUGGAAAGACCAAACUGAAUUAGCCUUAGAAAGAUACCUGAAGAUCUGAAAGAUCUCUUCCUCUAAUCUUCCAGUUUUGUCCUUCCCUUGUCUUGGAGAAACUGCUCCCAUCCUGCAGGUACCCCCAACAGGUAAACACUCACUCAUUUGAAGCUUUGGCCUUGAAGAUUUCAAAGGAAGGAGCUGAGAUAAAAGAGCACUCUGUACUGAGUGCAUCUGCCACUCCGAAGAGCAAGGAGCUUGAACUGGAAUUCACUCUGGCACCCUUAAGUCAUCUCAGCCCUUUAGACCCCACCUUCACUGGUACCAUUAAUUCUUUUGGGUUUCUGGGCCAUGGCAUCUUUU
This 798-nucleotide long non-coding RNA is filed under the name Ursus maritimus (polar bear). RNAcentral describes it as "lncRNA (ENSUMAG00000003844.1)". Lineage: Eukaryota; Metazoa; Chordata; Mammalia; Carnivora; Ursidae. The record is from RNAcentral.